UACGUAGGUGGCAAGCGUUGUCCGGAUUUACUGGGCGUAAAGAGCGCGCAGGCGGUCGUUCAAGUCGCGUGUGAAAGCUCCCGGCUCAACUGGGAGAGGUCCUUGGAUACUGGCGGACUUGAGGGAGGCAGAGGAAAGUGGAAUUCCCGGUGUAGUGGUGAUAUGCGUAGAUAUCGGGAGGAACACCAGUGGCGAAGGCGGCUUUCUGGGCCUUACCUGACGCUGAGACGCGAAAGCGUGGGGAGCGAACCGG
RNAcentral lists this ribosomal RNA (253 nucleotides) under uncultured bacterium. Its description in RNAcentral is "partial 16S ribosomal RNA". It matches the Rfam family "Bacterial small subunit ribosomal RNA", at positions 524 to 776 of the family's 1533-position model. The record is from RNAcentral.